This is a long non-coding RNA of Ictalurus punctatus (channel catfish), 1509 nucleotides long. NCBI's taxonomy places the organism in Eukaryota, Metazoa, Chordata, Actinopteri, Siluriformes, Ictaluridae. The record is from Ensembl.
UUUUGAUUACACUAUUUAAAUAGCCCCAUUUGGGGUCAGCUUUCGCUUACGGCCAUACCACUCUGAAAAAGCCUGAUCUCAUCUGACCUCGGAAGCAAAGCAGAGUUGGGCCUGGUUAGUACUUGGUUGGGAGACUGAAUGGGAAUACUAGGUGCUGUAAGCUUUUUAUUUGGAUCAGUGUUUUCAUGGCCUCUGCACAACAUCCUGUUUUGGGAUAAAGGUUGGACACAGGUUUGAAGGGGACCCAAUCAAUCAAUCAUCAGUCAGUCAGUCAGUCAGUCUUUUGAUUACACUAUUUAAAUAGCCCCCAUUUGGGGUCAGCUUUCGCUUACGGCCAUACCACUCUGAAAAAGCCUGAUCUCAUCUGACCUCGGAAGCAAAGCAGAGUUGGGCCUGGUUAGUACUUGGUUGGGAGACUGAAUGGGAAUACUAGGUGCUGUAAGCUUUUUUAUUUGGAUCAGUGUUUUCAUGGCCUCUGCACAACAUCCUGUUUUGGGAUAAAGGUUGGACACAGGUUUGAAGGGGACCCAAUCAAUCAAUCAAUCAAGUCAGUCAGUCAGUCAGUCAGUCAGUCUUUUGAUUACACUAUUUAAAUAGCCCCAUUUGGGGUCAGCUUUCGCUUACGGCCAUACCACUCUGAAAAAGCCUGAUCUCAUCUGACCUCGGAAGCAAAGCAGAGUUGGGCCUGGUUAGUACUUGGUUGGGAGACUGAAUGGGAAUACUAGGUGCUGUAAGCUUUUUAUUUGGAUCAGUGUUUUCAUGGCCUCUGCACAACAUCCUGUUUUGGGAUAAAGGUUGGACACAGGUUUGAAGGGGACCCAAUCAAUCAAUCAGUCAGUCAGUCAGUCAGUCAGUCUUCAGUCUUUUGAUUACACUAUUUAAAUAGGCCCCAUUUGGGGUCAGCUUUCGCUUACGGCCAUACCACUCUGAAAAAGCCUGAUCUCAUCUGACCUCGGAAGCAAAGCAGAGUUGGGCCUGGUUAGUACUUGGUUGGGAGACUGAAUGGGAAUACUAGGUGCUGUAAGCUUUUUAUUUGGAUCAGUGUUUUCAUGGCCUCUGCACAACAUCCUGUUUUGGGAUAAAGGUUGGACACAGGUUUGAAGGGGACCCAAUCAUACAAUCAAUCAGUCAGUCCAUCAGUCAAGUCAGUCAGUCUUUUGAUUACACUAUUUAAGAGGCCCCAUUUGGGGUAGCUUUCGCUUACGGCCAUACCACUCUGAAAAAGCCUGAUCUCAUCUGACCUCGGAAGCAAAGCAGAGUUGGGCCUGGUUAGUACUUGGUUGGGAGACUGAAUGGGAAUACUAGGUGCUGUAAGCUUUUUAUUUGGAUCAGUGUUUUCAUGGCCUCUGCACAACAUCCUGUUUUGGAUAAAGGUUGGACACAGGUUUGAAGGGGACCCAAUCAAUCAAUCAAUCAAUCAGUCAGUCAGUCAGUCACUCAGUCAGUCUUUUGAUUACACUAUUUAAAUAGGCCCCAUUUGGGGUCAGCUUUCGCUUACGGCCAUACCAC